RNAcentral lists this ribosomal RNA (1677 nucleotides) under Barthelona sp. PAP020. RNAcentral's name for it is "SSU rRNA". It matches the Rfam family "Eukaryotic small subunit ribosomal RNA". The record is from RNAcentral.
AUUCACUAGUGAUUAACCUGGUUGAUCCUGCCAGCAUCAUAUGCUUGUCUCCGAGAUUAAGCCAUGCAUGUCUAAGUAUAAGCGUUUAUACUGCGAAACUGCAAACGGCUCAUUAAAUCAGUGCUAAUCUACUCGACUGUAUAUCCUUUCGGAUAACCCUCUUUUGGGAAACUAGGGCUAAUACGUGAACGAAGAGUACUUGUACUCGAGCUUAUUAGCUUUUGACUAACCCACUUCGGUGGUUUGGUGAUUCAUAAUAAGGUCUCUUAUCUUUAUGAAAUGUCGAUUGAAGUUCUGCCCUAUCAACUUGUAUGUAAGGUAGUGGCUUACAUAGGUUCUGACGGGUAACGGAGAAUUAGGGUUUGAUUCCGGAGAGGUGGCUUGAGAUACGGCCACCACUUUUACGGAAGGCAGCAGGUGCGAAAACUAUCCAAUCCUAACACAGGGAGGUGGUUACAAGAAAUGACAGAUCACGUGCCUACGGCUCGUUUCUGUGCUGCGUUGUUGAUUUUAAAGUUCCUUCGUAAUCAACUGGAGGGCAAGUCGGGUGCCAGCAGCCGCGGUAAUUCCUGCUCCAGUAGCGUAUGUUAACGUUGUUGCAGUUAAAAAGCUCGUAGUUGAAUUUGUUUCUGGAUGAUUUUGAGGACCUAGUCCUCUUACGAUCCUCUAGAAUUCUGAUAGGCUGCCUCUGCCGAAUAGGUAGUGGACCACGGUCUAUCCGUUUACCUUGAAUAAAUUGGAGUGCUCAAAGCAUGCUAGUGCAAUUGAACAUUCAAGCAUGGAAUAAUGAAACAGGGCUAUGGUUCUGUUUGUUGGUUCGCAGACCAAAGUAAUGAUUAAUAGGGGCAGUUGGGGCCAUUUGUACUGGCGCAGGAGAGGUGAAAUUUAUAGAUUGCGCUAAGACAAACUGAUGCGAAAGCGUCUGGCAAGGAUGUUUUCAUUGAUCAAGAACGAAAGCUGGGCUAUCGAAGACGAGGGUUCUGGGGAGAGUAUGGUUGCAAGGCUGAAACUUAAAGGAAUUGACGGAAGGGCACCACCAGGGGUGGAGCUUGCCGCUUAAUUUGAUUCAACACGGGGAAACUUACCAGGUCCGGACUCAGGAAGGAUUGACAAGCUGAAUGCCUUUUCUUGAUUCUGAGGGUGGUGGUGCAUGGCCGUUCUUAGUUGGUGGAGUGAUUUGUCAGGUUGAUUCCGUUAACGAACGAGAUCCCAGCCUACUAACUAGUUUUUCGAUACUUUGUAUCGUCAAACUUCUUAGAGGGACUGCCAGAUUAAACUGGAGGAAGGUUGGGGCAAUAACAGGUCCGUGAUGCCCUUUAGAUGUUCUGGGCCGCAAGCGUGCUACAAUGAUGUCUUCAACAAGUAUAUUUUGCUGAACCGAGAGGUUUGGCUAAUCUUUUUAAAAGACAUCGUACUGGGGAUAGUCCUUUGCAAUUAUUGGACUUCAACCAGGAAUUCCUAGUAAGUGCAUGUCAUAAGCGUGCGCUGAUUACGUCCCUGCCCUUUGUACACACCGCCCGUCGCUACUACCGAUUGGAUGAGCAUGUGAGAUUUAUGGACUGCCUUAUUUGAAGUGACUCACGUUACUUCUUUAGGCGGGAAAUUCAGCGAAUGUGUUUAUUUAGAGGAAGUAAAAGUCGUAACAAGGUAUCCGUAGGUGAACCUGCAGAAUCGAAU